UACGUAUGGAGCAAGCGUUAUCCGGAUUUACUGGGUGUAAAGGGAGCGCAGGCGGCUUUGCAAGUCUGAUGUGAAAGGCCGGGGCUCAACCCCGGGACUGCAUUGGAAACUGUAAAGCUAGAGUGCCGGAGAGGUAAGCGGAAUUCCUAGUGUAGCGGUGGAAUGCGUAGAUAUUAGGAGGAACACCAGUGGCGAAGGCGGCUUACUGGACGGCAACUGACGCUGAGGCUCGAAAGCGUGGGGAGCAAACAGG
Molecule: ribosomal RNA, 253 nt
Filed under: uncultured bacterium
Lineage: Bacteria
Description: partial 16S ribosomal RNA
Rfam family: Bacterial small subunit ribosomal RNA
Source: RNAcentral